Molecule: long non-coding RNA, 1104 nt
Organism: Tribolium castaneum (red flour beetle)
Lineage: Eukaryota; Metazoa; Arthropoda; Insecta; Coleoptera; Tenebrionidae
Exons: 2
Source: RefSeq, a predicted model, not a curated record
ACAAAAUUUAUGGGGUAUUUUUUUAGAGUACGUUUAUGUCAACGUCUGCGUCCGCAAUUGUACUAGGAAGAAAAUAAAAAAAUAAAAUAAAAAAUAAAUUUAAUAAAAUAAAAAAAAUAUUGAAGAUACUAAACACAAAAACACUAACAAAAACCAAUCACUCCUUCUAAAAUAAAGUAAGAACGAAAAAGAUAAAGCUCUUUGUAUUAAAAUACUUUCAAUAACUCAAUAACGACUGUUUUAUUUUCUUUACUUCUUUUUUUUUAGAUUUUCAAUUGCUUUAUUUUUUUGAAUUUCUUUAUACUUCCCAGAAAGAUACGAAUAUGUACUAUCUAAAACACUAAUCAAAAAUGUCAGUUGUUAUUUAAAAUAAUUAAAAAUAACGUCACAACUCAAAAACGCAUUACAUCAUAAACAUCACUAUGAUGUCAAAAUGUUGCAGUGAAAAAAAUAAAAUCGACCUUAUCGAUGAUUUUUUUGAAAAAUGACUGAUAACAAAGAUAUGAAUUUUGUGCAUUACUUUUGGUUUAGUUUGUCUGUUAUUCUUUUGGUAUGCUUAUUUUGGAAAUAGUUAAGUGUGUAUAAAUUUAGUUUCUUAUCUUUAAACAAUGAAAACAUUUUCUUGAAAUUACAACUGUUAUGCACUGAGUGCUUUUAAAAUUCAUAAUCAAAAAAACUUGAUGUAUUAACCACAUUUAUAAGGAAACUAAAAAUCACUCAUAUUUUUUAUUUUACACUUUACGAACGAUUUAAAAUCUAAAGAGAACAAUAAAGCAAUAAGUUUUAUUGCAACAAGUCUUGAUAUAAGGUAACAGAAGUUGCGAAGAAUUUAAUAGAAGUCUGGACAAAAAUACAGAUGAAGCUACUAAUUACUAGUAUUACUUUGUUCCUACUUUGUUACACAACUCUUGCUGUACCUUCAUUUGAUUUAUUGUCUUCACACCUGUUUAAUGGAGCGGAAGGCCACAAUUAUAAGAAACCUAAAACAACACAUAAAACAUUUGAUUUAAUUCCUGCACAAUCACCACCUGUAGCAAGAAGUAUUCGUAGUAUCAAUGUAAAUGUGAAUGUAAACAGACAGAUAAACACAAAGGUGAACUCGCA